RNAcentral lists this ribosomal RNA (495 nucleotides) under uncultured bacterium. RNAcentral describes it as "partial 16S ribosomal RNA". It matches the Rfam family "Bacterial small subunit ribosomal RNA", at positions 28 to 507 of the family's 1533-position model. The record is from RNAcentral.
GAUGAACGCUGGCGGCGUGCCUAAUACAUGCAAGUAGAACGCUGAAGGAGGAGCUUGCUCUUCUGGAUGAGUUGCGAACGGGUGAGUAACGCGUAGGUAACCUGCCUGGUAGCGGGGGAUAACUAUUGGAAACGAUAGCUAAUACCGCAUGACAACAGUUAUUGCAUGAUAACUGUUUAAAAGGGGCAACUGCUCCACUACCAGAUGGACCUGCGUUGUAUUAGCUAGUUGGUGAGGUAACGGCUCACCAAGGCGACGAUACAUAGCCGACCUGAGAGGGUGAUCGGCCACACUGGGACUGAGACACGGCCCAGACUCCUACGGGAGGCAGCAGUAGGGAAUCUUCGGCAAUGGACGGAAGUCUGACCGAGCAACGCCGCGUGAGUGAUGAAGGUUUUCGGAUCGUAAAGCUCUGUUGUAAGAGAAGAACGAGUGUGAGAGUGGAAAGUUCACACUGUGACGGUAUCUUACCAGAAAGGGACGGCUAACUACGUG